This 404-nucleotide ribosomal RNA is filed under the name Holothuria arguinensis. Its description in RNAcentral is "partial 16S ribosomal RNA". It matches the Rfam family "Bacterial large subunit ribosomal RNA", at positions 1990 to 2608 of the family's 2925-position model. Lineage: Eukaryota; Metazoa; Echinodermata; Holothuroidea; Aspidochirotida; Holothuriidae. The record is from RNAcentral.
GUAUGAACGGCAAAACCUCUUCCAACUGUCUCCCCUCCCAUCCUUUUAAAUUUCCUCCUGUGUGAAGAAGCACAGAUAUAUCAGAAAGACGAGAAGACCCUGUCGAGCUUUAACCACUAAGUGGGCCUUACCCUUUUCAGGCACCACCUAAAGGUUUUGGUUGGGGCAACCAUGGAGAAAAAAGAUCCUCCAGAACAAAUAGAAGAAAGCUUUUCACUAUUUUACGACUGAGAACCAAGAACUGGUAUUCGGAAAAAGUUACCGCAGGGAUAACAGCGUCAUCUCCUCUAAGAGUCCUUAUUGACGAGGAGGUUUGCGACCUCGAUGUUGGAUUGGGGCCCCCUUAGGGUGCAGAAGCUCUAAACGGUUAGACUGUUCGUCUAUAAAAGCCCUACAUGAUCUGA